CCCUCGUCUUUCACUCUUUCGAGCUUUUUUUGUUCUCCGACCCCACCCUAAAGCCCGAGGGUGGUGGUAUUUCAACCCUCGGAAGGGUCUCUCCUUUAUUACUGGUCUUCCAUCGUCGAUUCAUGGAUGGAAGAACCAGUUCUUCUUCGUCUCUUCUUCCGUUCCUUGGGGGUUCCCUACUCGCUGGGGGGACCCCCGAACCCAACCAAACGAGAACAGUCGGGUGGA
RNAcentral lists this long non-coding RNA (228 nucleotides) under Elaeis guineensis (African oil palm). RNAcentral's name for it is "long non-coding RNA (EGUI_LNC024990)". The record is from RNAcentral. Lineage: Eukaryota; Viridiplantae; Streptophyta; Magnoliopsida; Arecales; Arecaceae.